RNAcentral lists this ribosomal RNA (465 nucleotides) under Vreelandella stevensii. RNAcentral's name for it is "partial 16S ribosomal RNA". It matches the Rfam family "Bacterial small subunit ribosomal RNA", at positions 338 to 795 of the family's 1533-position model. The record is from RNAcentral. Lineage: Bacteria; Pseudomonadati; Pseudomonadota; Gammaproteobacteria; Oceanospirillales; Halomonadaceae.
CCUACGGGUGAGCAGCAGUGGGGAAUAUUGGACAAUGGGCGAAAGCCUGAUCCAGCCAUGCCGCGUGUGUGAAGAAGGCCUUCGGGUUGUAAAGCACUUUCAGUGGGGAAGAAAGCCUUGGGGCUAAUACCCUCGAGGAAGGACAUCACCCACAGAAGAAGCACCGGCUAACUCCGUGCCAGCAGCCGCGGUAAUACGGAGGGUGCGAGCGUUAAUCGGAAUUACUGGGCGUAAAGCGCGCGUAGGCGGUCUGAUAAGCCGGUUGUGAAAGCCCCGGGCUCAACCUGGGAACGGCAUCCGGAACUGUCAGGCUAGAGUGCAGGAGAGGAAGGUAGAAUUCCCGGUGUAGCGGUGAAAUGCGUAGAGAUCGGGAGGAAUACCAGUGGCGAAGGCGGCCUUCUGGACUGACACUGACGCUGAGGUGCGAAAGCGUGGGUAGCAAACAGGAUUAGAUACCCGAGAGUC